Molecule: ribosomal RNA, 253 nt
Filed under: uncultured bacterium
Lineage: Bacteria
Description: partial 16S ribosomal RNA
Rfam family: Bacterial small subunit ribosomal RNA
Source: RNAcentral
UACGUAGGCAGCGAGCGUUGUUCGGAGUUACUGGGCGUAAAGCGUGCGUAGGCAGUGUCUUAAGUUUGUUGUGAAAUCUCCCGGCUUAACCGGGAGGGUGCGGCGAAUACUGAGAUGCUGGAGUGCCGGAGAGGUAAGCGGAAUUCCUGGUGUAGCGGUGAAAUGCGUAGAUAUCAGGAGGAACACCUGCGGUGUAGACGGCUUACUGGACGGUAACUGACGCUGAGGCACGAAAGCGUGGGUAGCAAACAGG